Molecule: long non-coding RNA, 396 nt
Organism: Xenopus tropicalis (tropical clawed frog)
Lineage: Eukaryota; Metazoa; Chordata; Amphibia; Anura; Pipidae
Exons: 3
Source: RefSeq, a predicted model, not a curated record
ACCUGGGAUUGCGCAACGCUGCAUAUAAAAAUGUGAAAGUGGAAAGCACAACACAAGUGAAGAAGUGGGUGCAGAGGAAAGGUGUCAUCGGCACAGAAUUCAGAAGACUAAUUUCCCCAUUGCCCUUUAUCUACCUGCAAUAAAAGAGACAGCAAAUGGAACCUGCGGCUGUAUGUGUGAUAAAGCAACGUCAUUUCAAAGGAUCCAUGUCUACAUAUCAUGAUAUCCAGCAUGAAGGGCCUGAGGCAGAUGCAGAGACGGGGGGAGAUGCAGGGGCUCGGGAACAUGCAGGGGCUCGGGAACAUGCAGGGGCUCGGGAACAUGCAGAGACCUGGGGAGAUGCAGAGACUGGGGGAGAUGCAGAAGAUGGGGGAGAUGCAGAGACUGGGGGAGAUG